This 497-nucleotide ribosomal RNA is filed under the name uncultured bacterium. RNAcentral's name for it is "partial 16S ribosomal RNA". It matches the Rfam family "Bacterial small subunit ribosomal RNA", at positions 28 to 507 of the family's 1533-position model. The record is from RNAcentral.
GAUGAACGCUGGCGGCGUGCCUAAUACAUGCAAGUCGAGCGAACGGACGAGAAGCUUGCUUUUCUGAUGUUAGCGGCGGACGGGUGAGUAACACGUGGAUAACCUACCUAUAAGACUGGGAUAACUUCGGGAAACCGGAGCUAAUACCGGAUAAUAUUUUGAACCGCAUGGUUCAAAAGUGAAAGACGGUCUUGCUGUCACUUAUAGAUGGAUCCGCGCUGCAUUAGCUAGUUGGUAAGGUAACGGCUUACCGAGGCAACGAUGCAUAGCCGACCUGAGAGGGUGAUCGGCCACACUGGAACUGAGACACGGUCCAGACUCCUACGGGAGGCAGCAGUAGGGAAUCUUCCGCAAUGGGCGAAAGCCUGACGGAGCAACGCCGCGUGAGUGAUGAAGGUCUUCGGAUCGUAAAACUCUGUUAUUAGGGAAGAACAUAUGUGUAAGUAACUGUGCACAUCUUGACGGUACCUAAUCAGAAAGCCACGGCUAACUACGUG